CCUACGGGGGGCAGCAGUAGGGAAUAUUGCUCAAUGGGGGAAACCCUGAAGCAGCAACGCCGCGUGGAGGAUGAAGGUUUUCGGAUUGGAAACUCCUUUUGUUAGAGAAGAUAAUGACGGUAUCUAAGGAAUAAGCACCGGCUAACUCCGUGCCAGCAGCCGCGGUAAUACGGCGGGUGCAAGCGUUACUCGGAAUCACUGGGCGUAAAGAGCGCGUAGGCGGGAUAGCAAGUCAGAUGUGAAAUCCUAUGGCUUAACCAUAGAACUGCAUUUGAAACUGUUAUUCUAGAGUAUGGUAGAGGUAGGUGGAAUUCGUGGUGUAGGGGUAAAAUCCGUAGAGAUCAAGAGGAAUACUGAUUGCGAAGGCGGCCUGCUAGAACAUAACUGACGCUGAUGCGCGAAAGCGUGGGGAGCAAACAGGAUUAGAUACCCUUGUAGUC
Molecule: ribosomal RNA, 440 nt
Filed under: uncultured bacterium
Lineage: Bacteria
Description: partial 16S ribosomal RNA
Rfam family: Bacterial small subunit ribosomal RNA
Source: RNAcentral